GGCUCAGGACGAACGCUGGCGGCGUGCUUAACACAUGCAAGUCGAACGGUGAAAGAGGAGCUUGCUCCUCUGGAUCAGUGGCGAACGGGUGAGUAACACGUGAGUAACCUGCCCUUGACUCUGGGAUAAGCGUUGGAAACGACGUCUAAUACCGGAUACGAACCGCGAAGGCAUCUUCUGCGGUUGGAAAGAAUUUCGGUCAAGGAUGGACUCGCGGCCUAUCAGCUUGUUGGUGAGGUAAUGGCUCACCAAGGCGACGACGGGUAGCCGGCCUGAGAGGGUGACCGGCCACACUGGGACUGAGACACGGCCCAGACUCCUACGGGAGGCAGCAGUGGGGAAUAUUGCACAAUGGGCGCAAGCCUGAUGCAGCAACGCCGCGUGAGGGAUGACGGCCUUCGGGUUGUAAACCUCUUUUAGUAGGGAAGAAGCGAAAGU
This 438-nucleotide ribosomal RNA is filed under the name Leifsonia sp. R-46259. RNAcentral's name for it is "bacterial SSU rRNA". It matches the Rfam family "Bacterial small subunit ribosomal RNA", at positions 21 to 457 of the family's 1533-position model. Lineage: Bacteria; Bacillati; Actinomycetota; Actinomycetes; Micrococcales; Microbacteriaceae. The record is from RNAcentral.